Molecule: unclassified non-coding RNA, 1402 nt
Filed under: Caenorhabditis elegans
Lineage: Eukaryota; Metazoa; Nematoda; Chromadorea; Rhabditida; Rhabditidae
Description: Non-coding transcript of protein-coding gene ugt-65
Source: RNAcentral
AUGCCACAAUAUUCUCAACUCAUAACCAUCAUCUUUCUACUUGCUCAUUUUCUCACCACUUCAAACUGCUCCAGAAUACUAUUUUUGAAUAUGUUCAACUCAAAGAGCCACGCACUAACAAUGAUGCCGUUAGCCGAGAGAUUAUUCGACGAUGGACAUGAUGUGUCGAUGUAUACCAUAAGUGCGAAUCGGUUGAAAAUUCCAUCGAAAAAAGUGAAAAUUUUGGAGUCUCUUGUGAAGGGAAGUAGUACGGAUGACGCAGCACCAGACACGGGCGGUGUGAGCAGAAUAUUCUGGAGUUAUGAAAUGACACCGUAUGUUGGCGCAUGGUGUUAUGAAAUCGGUCUGUACUAUUUGGAAGAAGGAAGAGAUGAACAACUAGAUGAAGUUCUUGCAACACCGUACGACCUGGCAGUUGUUGAUGAAACUUACACAUCACUUCAAGGAUCAAUUGCCCUAAAAUUGAAAGAAGAUCAUAGCACAAAGAUCAUAACAUUUGCAACGACAGAACUAAUGCCAGUUGCUUCAAAUAUGAGGGGAUAUGCAAGGAAUCCGGUGACUGUUCCGAACACAUUUCUGUUGUCGUCGGAGGUUUAUGAAGGAAAUCGGUUUGCGUUCUUGACAAGAACUAGGAGAAUAUUUGAAUAUUUUAUUGAUCAGAUUUACAGUGGACCAGUUGCAAGUCUUUACAGUGAAGCGUCGGGAAAACUACUUGGCCUAACCAGUGCGACCAAAAGCAAAACUUUUCAAAACUCGAUACUCACUGUCAAUGAUUUCCCGGAUACAUUUAGUUUCGUUCAACCACGUGGAAAUGAUUUAAUUCGAGUUGGAGAACAUUGUUAUUCAAGUGCCAAUUUACCAUCAGAAUUCAGAGAUUUCGUGGAGGAUUCAAUGUCAAAAGGUAACCGGUGCAAAAUGUCACGUAAAAUCGGUUAACUGGGCUCCUCAAAAAGAGCUUCUUGCUCAUGAGAAAACGGUAGCUUUCAUAACACACGGUGGCCUAAAAAGUGCAAAAGAAGGUGUCUGCUCGGGUGUUCCAAUGCUUUUCCUACCAUUUUACGGUGAUCAACCAAGAAAUGCACAUCGAUUUGUAACCAAUGGAAUAGCGGAGGCUCUUUACAAGAAAGCAAUAACAUCAUUGGAUAUUCAACAAAAAUUGGAGAAACUUCUCGUGGAUCCCAGUUAUAAAAAUAAUGUGAUGAAGGUCCUAUCCUAUUACCUCGACGCUCCGAUCAGUUCUCUAGACCUCGGUGCUUUCCAUAUCUCACAAGUGCUCCGCCGUACAGAGUCACAAUACAGCAAAUUCAAACGAAGAUCUAUUUUUAUGAAUCACUUACAGUAUCUCAAUCUUGACAUUUUCCUGGUUAUUCUUGUUAUUUUAUUUAUUGUUUCUAAAUUUUAA